AUGAGGAUCAACACACACGUGUCUCUGUCAGUCACUGAAUCAAUGAGUUUGAUUUUCACUUUCGGCAGCGGCACCAAACUGGAUGUUGGCAGCGUCACUCGUCCUAAAGUGAGCGUCCUGCCGCCCUCCAGUGCAGAGAUCUCCUCAAAGAAGACAGCGACACUGGUGUGUGUGGCCAGCAAGGGCUUCCCGUCAGACUGGAGCCUGAGCUGGAAGGUGGACGGGAGCAGCGCUGGGCUCCUGGAGAAGGACGGUCUGUACCGCUGGAGCAGCAGCCUGACUCUCUCACUCGUGUCUCACUGGAGACUAACAGCACAUGAGCGAAUCCUUCAUUCUCCACAUCCAGCUUCAGUCGCUCGCAUCUGCAUCUACUCUGCUUUGUCUUUCAUUGAAUGA
Molecule: non-coding RNA, 396 nt
Organism: Sinocyclocheilus rhinocerous
Lineage: Eukaryota; Metazoa; Chordata; Actinopteri; Cypriniformes; Cyprinidae
Source: the annotation of a RefSeq genome assembly